GCAAGUCGAACGGUAACAGGGAUUGCUUGCAAUCCGCUGACGAGUGGCGCACGGGUGCGUAACGCGUAUGGAACCUACCCUUUACUGGGGGAUAGCCCGGAGAAAUUCGGAUUAAUACCCCGUAGUAUUGCUUAGUGGCAUCACUUGAGCAAUUAAAGCUUCGGCGGUAGAGGAUGGCCAUGCGUCCUAUUAGCUUGAUGGUGAGGUAACGGCUCACCAUUGCUACGAUAGGUAGGGGCCCUGAGAGGGGGAUCCCCCACACUGGUACUGAGACACGGACCAGACUCCUACGGGAGGCAGCAGUGAGGAAUAUUGGACAAUGGUCGAAAGACUGAUCCAGCCAUGCCGCGUGCAGGAAGACGGCCCUACGGGUUGUAAACUGCUUUUUUACGGGAAGAAUAAUGCCCACGUGUGGGCAGAUGACGGUACCGUACGAAUAAGGACCGGCUAACUCCGUGCCAGCAGCCGCGGUAAUACGGAGGGUCCGAGCGUUAUCCGGAAUCAUUGGGUUUAAAGGGUCCGCAGGCGGGCCAGUAAGUCAGGGGUGAAAGUUUGCGGCUCAACCGUAAAAUUGCCUUUGAUACUGCUGGUCUUGAGUUGUGGUGAAGUGGCCGGAAUAUGUGGUGUAGCGGUGAAAUGCAUAGAUAUCACAUAGAACACCGAUUGCGAAGGCAGGUCACUAACCACACACUGACGCUGAUGGACGAAAGCGUGGGGAGCGAACG
RNAcentral lists this ribosomal RNA (725 nucleotides) under uncultured bacterium. Its description in RNAcentral is "bacterial SSU rRNA". It matches the Rfam family "Bacterial small subunit ribosomal RNA", at positions 57 to 774 of the family's 1533-position model. The record is from RNAcentral.